RNAcentral lists this long non-coding RNA (952 nucleotides) under Homo sapiens (human). RNAcentral describes it as "HSALNT0291319". Lineage: Eukaryota; Metazoa; Chordata; Mammalia; Primates; Hominidae. The record is from RNAcentral.
UGUCUUUUAGUGAGGACACUUACUUGCCUUUGGAUUUAGGGCCCACAAAGAUAACCCAGGAUGAUCUCAUCUUGAGAUCCUUAAGUACAUCUGCAAAUACCUUUUUUUCCAAAUAACAUCACAUUGGCAGUUUCCCAGACAUAGCUUUUUUGGGGGAUGGGGUUGGGGGAAAAUUCAAUUUACUACAGAUGAAAAUCACAUAACUUGUUUCAGAGAGUUGUCAUGAGAGGUCCCUGAAACAAGGUGUGUGAGGCAGCCUGCCCCAGAGUGGGUGGGUGUUAAAUGUUAGUUUUCUCCUCUACUUCUCCCUCUGUCCUCAAAAAGGUUUAGCACUACUAAUUCACAAUGAAGUGGCUGGGGCCGAAGGGUUUCUUCUCCCAGCCUACCUCCACUGGAGAGAAUUUCAUUUUAAUGAGGAGUCAGGACUGUUGAGAGAGAACUUAAUGUCCAAAGAAGUCCCCAAGGAGCCACAUGCUGCUUGAAUUAUGUAAAGGGACUCUUUUCCUGACAUUCCAGACUGUGUUAUACAGAAGCCCAAUAAAUGUUUGUGGAACUGACAUGAUAGAGAAAGUUCUUGUAAAGAUGGAAGAGAUUUGAGUGUGGAUAUGGACUAAGGAAAAAGUUCUAGCAGAGAGGUGAAGAUUGAAGAUGCUAAAGAGAGAAGGUUGUCCUUGGACUCAUGGAGAGAAAGCUGGCCCUGAGCUCUUGGGGGCACUGCUCACCAGGAACUAAUUGACACAUGGAUUUGGAAGUUCAGUUGGCGAGUCGGCUGCUAUUUCACAGGCAUCCCCUUUUGCCCCUGAGAGUGGUUCUUCCAGCCACCAAUUUAAAGUGGAGGGAGAGGGACAAAAAACCACCUGCCAGGUAUUAUGCUUAUUACCUGGGUGUCAAAAUCAUCCAUACACCAAACUUCUGUGACAAGCAGUUUACCUAUAUAACAAACCUGCACAUG